UGCGCGAGUCAUUGGGACUAUCUAAACCUAAAGGCGCAAUGAAAGUGAAGGCCGCUUCGCGCGUGCCUAGGGAGGAUGGGUCGUCGUCCUAGACGCGGCCCCGCACUCCCGGGGCGUCUCGUUCUCAUCGCGAGAUGAGGCGCACCCAGAGCGUACACGCUGGGACCCGAAAGAUGGUGAACUAUGCCUGGUCAGGACGAAGUCAGGGGAAACCCUGAUGGAGGUCCGUAGCGAUUCUGACGUGCAAAUCGAUCGUCGGAACUGGGUAUAGGGGCGAAAGACUAAUCGAACCAUCUAGUAGCUGGUUCCCUCCGAAGUUUCCCUCAGGAUAGCUGGCGCUCGCCUUGCGCGAGUCUCAUCCGGUAAAGCGAAUGAUUAGAGGCAUUGGGGUCGAAACGGCCUCAACCUAUUCUCAAACUUUAAAUGGGUGAGAUCUCCGGCUUGCUUGAACGUGAAGCCGCGAGAUCGGAUCAGAGUGCCAAGUGGGCCACUUUUGGUAAGCAGAACUGGCGCUGUGGGAUGAACCAAACGCCGAGUUAAAGCGCCCAAAUCGACGCUUAUGGGAUACCAUGAAAGGCGUUG
This 582-nucleotide ribosomal RNA is filed under the name Coprophilus striatulus. RNAcentral describes it as "eukaryotic LSU rRNA". It matches the Rfam family "Eukaryotic large subunit ribosomal RNA", at positions 683 to 1226 of the family's 3401-position model. Lineage: Eukaryota; Metazoa; Arthropoda; Insecta; Coleoptera; Staphylinidae. The record is from RNAcentral.